GUGGGGAAUAUUGGGCAAUGGGCGAAAGCCUGACCCAGCAACGCCGCGUGAAGGAAGAAGGUCUUCGGAUCGUAAACUUCUAUCCUUGGUGAAGAUAAUGACGGUAGCCGAGAAGGAAGCCCCGGCUAACUACGUGCCAGCAGCCGCGGUAAUACGUAGGGGGCAAGCGUUGUCCGGAAUGAUUGGGCGUAAAGGGCGCGUAGGCGGCCUGGUAAGUCUGGAGUGAAAGUCCUGCUUUUAAGGUGGGAAUUGCUUUGGAUACUGUCGGGCUUGAGUGCAGGAGAGGUAAGUGGAAUUCCCGGUGUAGCGGUGAAAUGCGUAGAGAUCGGGAGGAACACCAGUGGCGAAGGCGACUUACUGGACUGUAACUGACGCUGAGGCGCGAAAGCGUGGGGAGCAAACGGGAUUAGAUACCCUAGUAGUCC
RNAcentral lists this ribosomal RNA (425 nucleotides) under uncultured bacterium. Its description in RNAcentral is "partial 16S ribosomal RNA". It matches the Rfam family "Bacterial small subunit ribosomal RNA", at positions 354 to 796 of the family's 1533-position model. The record is from RNAcentral.